Long non-coding RNA from Bos taurus (domestic cattle), 1610 nucleotides. Lineage: Eukaryota; Metazoa; Chordata; Mammalia; Artiodactyla; Bovidae. The record is from Ensembl.
GGCCAGAGGCCCUGAUGCCUCUGGUUCCAUUUCCUCCUUCAGGCUUGAGACACUGCCCUGUAGGCUUCCUCCGCUCUGGGUAGAAACCCAUCUUCAUCCCUGAUUCCUGGUAUAAACACAAGGGCAGCCAAAGAAACAAAAUGUUCUCUGUGCCACUGCCAGAUUCCAGUGUGUUAAACAGGAAUACAGAGCGAAGACAUGGUGCGGCACAGGGACCUGCCUCCUCCAACCACUGUUCAACCUUGGGGGCCCAGUAGCCUUGGCUUUGGCUUGGAAGCUUAGAGCUCAGCCUGAAGAAAUGGCCCAUAAAAAGCCCCAUUCCUGGCACUUAUCCAGAUAUUCCCCAGGAGAUGUGUUCAAACAAGAAUCUUCUCUCUGCUCCCCUACCUCCCAUGACUCUGCUUGUAGGAUGAGUCCAGUCUCAGGAAAGGACAAGCCAGAGAUCUGGGCUCAGGAUCUGUUCUGCCAUUAAUGGAGUGAGCCAUAUGGACUUUUGUAUCUCGAGUCUGUGUUGGUAAAAUGAAGGGUUUGGGCUGGUCAGAAUGGAUUCCGUUCAACCCCAGAUGCUUCAUGAAGCAGCUACUACUUGAUCUUGUGUCUGGGGUUUCUCUGUUACAGUCACAGAACACUGUGGCUAGCUCUGGGAAUGUUGCAUGCGAGCCUAUCUCAGAAGAGUCACAUGGAAAAGGAAUUAGGACGGCACAGGUCAAAUUCCAGCUUGUUGAGUCGUGUGAGAUAAAUGUGGGGAAGCCCAGUGGAGAGCAGGGGCCCCAAGCCUCUCUAGAGACAGCACACACUUUCUCCCCAGGGGGUUGCAGGCUCAGCAGACCUCAGUUGCCUCCAGCUCCAUCCCAUCAAGUCUCAACUGCAAGGAACCAAUGCACUAUGAAUGUGAAAGGUGAAGACAGGAGUGAGGAAGACACCUAGGCAAACUUACCUGCAGGCAGACAAGACCCUCUCACAGUGGGAUUAAAGGAGCAUGCGAUGGUGCCUGGCCCCUGGGUUGUAUCUGCUGAUACUUACAAUCAGUCACCGACACCUUUUGGAGAAGGGUCUGAUGUAAGGAGAGAGCUCAUUGGAAGAUGGCAAAUUCACGUGCAUCUGAGAUGAGAGAGUGGGACAUGCAAAUAAAUCUCUGCUUCAGCUUCCCAACAGAAGAGCAGGGACAGAAAGCAGCCCAUUGGUCUUCAAGGCAUACUGUCAUCCAUCACACCAGGACAUCUCCAGGUGGUCUUAAAUCCAGAGAAACAUGAGCGCAGUCAUUUCAGGUCCUAAGACCCCUCUGAUGAGAGAAGCCUCAUUACCACGCGUGCACAGUAGCUAGUAUUUCACGUGAACUAACUGGCCUGUUUUCAUUCCUUUUAAAUACCCAAAGGCAUCCUACCUACACGAGGAGCCGAAGGCCUACAAACCAUGGUCGUAAAAACCUUUCGCUCACUACGCAAGUGCUAAAGAGCACCUGAAACCACUUUGCUUCUAUUUGUUUUGCCCCCUAAUACGCACACUGGUAUAUUAGUGUUUCUUUUGAAUCCCCCUGGGUUUGGAUAUUAUACACCCAAGUUUUAGUUCAAAUUGAGUUUUCACAGCUGGAUUAUAAACCAAUGGAAAUG